UCAAGGCAUACCUGAUCUCUGUCUUCAUGGAAUUUAUAGUUUAGUUAAGGAGACAUAAUGACAGAGAAGGUGGAUUCAGGGGGCUUUGAAUACAGGUCAGGCAAUCCUUUCCUGAGUACUUCACAGGUAAAAUGCUUCAACAUCAUCAUUUUCAUUUGGUUCAACCAAAUAUACUAGUUAAAGGACAACACAUCAAUCUUAUCCAGAACCUUAUGAGAUUUUUCCAGCCUAACACCUUCUUGUGAUAAAUGGGAAAUGAAGGCCCAGAGAUUUCAGAAGACUUCCUCAAGGUACAGAGACGCCCUCAGCUGAAGCCACUACGUUGUUGCUGAGGCUUAGUUGUUGAGACUGGAAGUGAUUUGAAAAGUCUUCAAAUGGCCAUUUGUGGGAGUGCUCUACUUAGGUAGCAAGCUGUCAUUGCCACCACAGAAAUAACCUCUACUGAACUUUAUUGGGUCUCAAAUCUGAAUUGGAAAUUGUCCACUCACCCAUAAAUGGGUUUAUCAUGAAGUGAUUGAAGCUUAAGCUGCUUACAAGAUACCAGCAAUACGGUUGUUAUAAAUUCAGAGAGUACUUUACACAGUCCCUGCCAAGAAAACUUGAAUUGCCCUGAAAUCGUACAGGGCGAGACAUAGGAGGAUAUUCAAAUACCAAAGUAACUAUGGAAAUAGGAGGAACAAAGAAGAAUUCUUGAAAAUCUCUGGGUAAAGAUAAAAGAAAAACAGAACAAAGGAGAUCUCACAACAGGGGUUGUGACAGAUCUCCAUAUCGGAAGUCAGGAAGAUGAAGUGGAACGAAGCCAAAUCUCCACAUCCAGGGAGAUGGUCCAUAGAUUUCAACUACCCAGUUACCUUUCAGAUAACUCGCUCAGGAGAGCAGGACUGGAAACAUAUGAAAUAUAAAUUAAAUUCUCA
This is a long non-coding RNA of Eptesicus fuscus (big brown bat), 914 nucleotides long. RefSeq lists it as uncharacterized. The record is from RefSeq and is a predicted model, not a curated record. NCBI's taxonomy places the organism in Eukaryota, Metazoa, Chordata, Mammalia, Chiroptera, Vespertilionidae. The transcript has 4 exons.